Molecule: ribosomal RNA, 105 nt
Filed under: Castor canadensis (American beaver)
Lineage: Eukaryota; Metazoa; Chordata; Mammalia; Rodentia; Castoridae
Source: RNAcentral
ACAGCCAUAGCACCCUGAAUGUGCCCCGUCCCAUCUCAUCUCAGAAGCUAAGCAGGAACAGGCCUGGCUAGUACUUGGAUGGGAGGAUAUACCUGGACGACUGGU